AACGCACAUUGCGCCCAUUAGUAUUCUAGUGGGCAUGCCUGUUCGAGCGUCAUUUCAACCCUUAAGCCCCUGUUGCUUAGCGUUGGGAGCCUACGGCAGCGUAGCUCCCCAAAGUUAGUGGCGUGGUCGGUUCACACUCCAGACGUAGUAGAUUUUCGUCUCGCCUGUAGUUGGACCGGUCCCCUGCCGUAAAACACCCCAAUUCUAAAAGGUUGACCUCGGAUCAGGUAGGAAUACCCGCUGAACUUAA
RNAcentral lists this unclassified non-coding RNA (250 nucleotides) under uncultured fungus. RNAcentral describes it as "partial contains 5.8S ribosomal RNA, internal transcribed spacer 2, and large subunit ribosomal RNA". The record is from RNAcentral. Lineage: Eukaryota; Fungi.